GAUGCCAGACACUGCGGCCUGCCCCUCAGUUUCCUGUACAGAGCUCAGCUCCUCGAGGAUUGCAAACCCCGAGGACAGCUGAUGAUCUCAUUCUUGGUGUGGAGAACAUCCUUGCUGUUCUCAUUAUGGAAGCAACCUCACCAGCAGGUGGCUCUGACAUCUACGAUUAAACUACUGAAUCAGGAAAAAAGGAAGCAGGACAGAGAAAGGCAAUGACUGGAAAGUUUUACUUCGGGACAACAUCUCUGAAUUAUUCACAUAUAAUGGAAAUGAAUCAUUCUGACUCAUUAAUCAAUGAUGAAAUGAACGACAAGCAACAGAGGAUGACCUGAAACAUUUAUAUUUGGUUUAUAUCAUGUUAGAACGUCUAAUUUAACAGAGAUGUCUCAUGCCCUGGAAGUUCAUACUGCUGCUGGGAAAUCACAGAGCUACGUUGGGAGCAUGUAACAUCCUCUUUUCCAACUCUUCUCACUGAGCAUCUCCCUGGAGGAGGCCAAAGUCAUCUCUCAGACUAAGCUCAGAACUCAGUGAAGCUGUAGUGACAUUGGCAACAACUAUAGCAUCAUACGCAUGGCCUGAAUGAGAGCUGUGAUUGUUAGUGAUGUCCGGGGAUGCUGGCUUAUUAAAAUAAUGUCAGUGGGCUUAUUAACAACAGGAUCUGUUGGGCCUUCAAGUCAUCAAGGCAAGUAUGUUCUUCUUAAAUCAUAUCUAUUGCUUGUUUAUAUGUCAUUGAUUUUGCAAAUGCUUCAUGAAUGGGUCUUUUUUGCAAACUUUAAUGUCUUCCUCUUCAAACAGAAUAGCAACAUUCAAAAUAAUAUUAAAAUGAGAAUCUCUGUCUUGCAUUUCCAGCAAUACUACCACAGGCUUAAAGCAAAAAACAAAAACAAAAACAAAAACAAAACCAACAAUAACAAAUGCUGAAUUCUCUCACAUUUCAUAUUGAGGUUCUAGGUCAUCCACGAAAAAGAACUGGUUGUUGAUCCAGCCAACACUCACCUGCUAGUUAUAAAAGGGAUACACAAUUUUUUCUCCUACAUUUCUUUUCCUUUUUUCUUUUUUUUAUUUUUUUGAGAUGGAGUCUUGCUCUGUCGCCCAGGCUGGAGUGCAGUGGCACCAUCUCAGCUCACUGCAAGCUCCGCCUCCCGGGUUCACGCCAUUCUCCUGCCUCAGCUUCCCGAGUAGCUGGGACUACAGGCGCCUGCCACCAAGACCGGCUAAUUUUUUGUAUUUUUAGUAGAGAUGGGGUUUCACCAUGUUAGCCAGGAUGGUCUCGAUCUCCUGACCUCGCGAUCCACCCGCCUCGGCCUCCCAAAGUGCUGGGAUCACAGGCAUAAGCCACCAUGCCCGGCCGUUCCCCUAUAUUUCAUCAACACCUUGCAGAAAGGAAAAGUGUUGCUUACCCUCAUCUCCAGCCUAGUGAGAAGCGUACUGGGUGGGAUCUUCUCAGUACAUUUGUUUGGUGGAGUUUGAGGGUAAUAAACAUGUGAAUGGUGACUUUAAAGUUCCAAUUCUGGUCACAUGCCUCUGUCAAUACAUAAAGGCUGCCAACUCCUUACAUCUUAUCAUCACCAACUUGUUACGGGUUGCUGGUUUACAAAUCCACAAAACCUGUGGCGAGUUAGGGAAGGUGGGCCGCAGAGCCAACAUGUGCACUAAUCAUAUCUAAAGUCAAUAUAGAUUAGGGUUGGCUAAUUUGAAUAUAUCCAAUCCUAGCCAGGAUGUGAACAACAAGACCCAUGGGGGUAUCAAUAACAGAGAAGCUCCUCAUACAGAGAAUAAGAACCACAGGUAUGCAUAGCUUGAUGGGACUUGCUGUCAACACAAGGGAGUGUGUGUUACACCUCUGCUUGCCUGAAGCUGGUUGGCCAAGUUGCCAGCCAGAAGUCCUGGACCUCCCUUAUACAAAACCCUUGCACAAGGUCCAAUCCACAGUGAUGGCCUUGGCAGAUACAAGGGAGGGAGGAAAUGUCCAUACCUACUGAUGCUCACCUACUGUGCUGGUCCAUCAGUCACCAACUAAGGUGACUAAGGCCCCACAGAGAUGAAGGCACUGUGGCUUCUACUCCACCCCAAAU
Molecule: long non-coding RNA, 2075 nt
Filed under: Macaca mulatta (Rhesus monkey)
Lineage: Eukaryota; Metazoa; Chordata; Mammalia; Primates; Cercopithecidae
Description: lncRNA (ENSMMUG00000050897.1)
Source: RNAcentral